This 240-nucleotide unclassified non-coding RNA is filed under the name Hevea brasiliensis (rubber tree). The record is from RNAcentral. Lineage: Eukaryota; Viridiplantae; Streptophyta; Magnoliopsida; Malpighiales; Euphorbiaceae.
AUAUUUUGUUUUUUUAUUUUUGGUACUCGAAAAUGUCAUUAAAUCCUAAAUUAUUUGUUCAUGGAAUGCCAGUUCCAUUUAUCGAUGAAUUGUUUGUCUUAGCUAGCGAUGGAAUUGAAUUUCAGAUCGAUAACAUUCCUAGUUUAGGUGAAGUACAAGCAAAAGGAACCAUUUACUUAUCGAAUAUCCGGAUGGUCUUUGUUGCAAAGAAUCCUACGAACAACUUCAAUGCUUUUGACA